AUAUAUAUAUAUAUAUGAUACAAUUUUCUUUUAACAACAUUUUAAAUAUCUAAUAUAUUCAACAAUCAAGAACCCAUAAACAUAUAGAACAAACAUUUAUACCAUUAAAAACUAUAAAAAUAAAUAAAUAAAUAAAUAAUUUGUUGCACAAAUACAAGUUCCCUAGCUCUUUGAUUUCUUAUAUGUAUGUGAGAGCAAUUUUCAUCGUUGAUCAAAACCAUUAUGGUGCUUGUUAUGGCCAGCAAAAUUCAUUUCCUUAAUAGGACAAGGUGGACCACUACUCCCUGGGAUGUAUGUACAUCCAGAAGGCCCUGAUGGAGGCACAGGACCUUUAUCAAGAGCUUGCAACCUAAGUCGUUUCUUCUCCAUGUUGAAAACCCUACCACCAAGGUUUGGCUUCACAUGAAUUAUUGUAAGAAAUAGGAGUACCAAAACAAUGUUAUGAACCCUCAUUUUGUUGUUCAAAACUCAAAAGGGUAUGUAAAUACUUAUAGCAAUUAAUUAAUAAGCAUACAAAGUUGUUGGUAUUUAUAUAUACAUUGGGAGGUGGUGCUUGUAACUAAUUUUGUGACUUGUAUAUUUUAUUAGAGGAAAAGGAUAUGCAUGUAAAUUAGUUUUACAAUUAGAC
This 628-nucleotide long non-coding RNA is filed under the name Cicer arietinum (chickpea). Its description in RNAcentral is "long non-coding RNA (CARI_LNC001174)". Lineage: Eukaryota; Viridiplantae; Streptophyta; Magnoliopsida; Fabales; Fabaceae. The record is from RNAcentral.